AUACGGAGGAUCCAAGCGUUAUCCGGAUUUAUUGGGUUUAAAGGGUGCGUAGGCGGACUGGUAAGUCAGCUGUGAAAGUUUGCGGCUUAACCGUAAAAUUGCAGUUGAUACUGUCAGUCUUGAGUGUGCAUGAGGUGGGCGGAAUUUGUGGUGUAGCGGUGAAAUGCUUAGAUAUCACGAGGAACUCCAAUUGCGAAGGCAGCUCACUGGGGCAUAACUGACGCUGAUGCACGAAGGUGUGGGUAUCAAACAGGAUUAGAUACCCUGGUAGUCCACACAGUAAACGAUGAAUACUCGCUGUUUGCGAUAUACAGUAAGCGGCCAAGCGAAAGCAUUAAGUAUUCCACCUGGGGAGUACGCCGGCAACGGUGAAACUCAAAUGAAUUGACGGGG
This 393-nucleotide ribosomal RNA is filed under the name uncultured bacterium. RNAcentral describes it as "partial 16S ribosomal RNA". It matches the Rfam family "Bacterial small subunit ribosomal RNA", at positions 523 to 918 of the family's 1533-position model. The record is from RNAcentral.